This 538-nucleotide ribosomal RNA is filed under the name uncultured bacterium. Its description in RNAcentral is "bacterial SSU rRNA". It matches the Rfam family "Bacterial small subunit ribosomal RNA", at positions 777 to 1314 of the family's 1533-position model. The record is from RNAcentral.
AAUAGAUACCCAGGUAGUCCACGCCGUAAACGAUGAGUGCUAAGUGUUAGGGGGUUUCCACCCCUUAGUGCUGCAGCUAACGCAUUAAGCACUCCGCCUGGGGAGUACGGUCGCAAAACUGAAACUCAAAGGAAUUGACGGGGGCCCGCACAAGCGGUGGAGCAUGUGGUUUAAUUCGAAGCAACGCGAAGAACCUUACCAGGUCUUGACAUCCCGCUGACCGCUAUGGAGACAUAGCCUUCCCUUCGGAGACAGCGGUGACAGGUGGUGCAUGGUUGUCGUCAGCUCGUGUCGUGAGAUGUUGGGUUAAGUCCCGCAACGAGCGCAACCCUUGUCCUUAGUUGCCAUCAUUCAGUUGGGCACUCUAAGGAGACUGCCGUACAAAUACGGAGGAAGGUGGGGAUGACGUCAAAUCAUCAUGCCCCUUAUGACCUGGGCUACACACGUGCUACAAUGGACGGUACAAACGGUCGCGAAGUCGCGAGACGGAGCCAAUCCGAAAAAACCGUUCUCAGUUCGGAUUGCAGGCUGCAACUCG